Molecule: long non-coding RNA, 1064 nt
Filed under: Daphnia pulicaria
Lineage: Eukaryota; Metazoa; Arthropoda; Branchiopoda; Diplostraca; Daphniidae
Description: uncharacterized LOC124314319, transcript variant X2
Source: RNAcentral
GCUUUACUUUCAUGCUUUGGCUGUUGGCUCUUUGCCUCUUUGCGAUUGCAGCAGAUUGUCCCGCUAGGUAAAAUUGUGUCCACCAGGUGGCGGAGUGGCUGUUCGUGAGUGACGAAGCCGCCAUUUGCUUUUGAAACAGUGUACGGGAAUGUGUUGCUGCUCAAUGCGGUGUUCUUCGCUUUUACAUUUAAAAAAAUGAUAAAGUUGUUUCCACGCCUUUCGACCAAGCUGAAUCGAAAGUGAACAAUUUUAAAGCAAGCAAAGUGCAGAAUAACAGGAAUAAAGUGAAAAGUUACAAAAAGUGAUACGAAAAGUAGCAGUAUAGGCGAGUAUAGGAUAUUUCGUCAAGAAUCUGGAACAAGGCACUGAUUCAGAAGAAUGUCAACUGUUAAGCUGCCUUCUCAUUAUACCUUGGGGAUUUCGUCUGUUGUGAUGUGUGAUGCUGCGGUGCUUUUUGGUGAAGACGAGAUGUAAAUUUGGAGGGGAGAAUAUUACGAGGAAACGUGAAAGGGUCGUGGCCGUCGUGCAGCCUACGGUCAACUAUUUUGUUCCAAAUUAUUGUAUUCUACUGAAUGUGCCAUCGAAAUGAUACAGGAGCCAUAAUUGUAUUGGACUUGCUAGAUCACCAACCCCAGCAUAGACCAAUCUCUCAUUUCAUCUUCUCGAGAUAAGAUUGGAUAACUGAUCUGUGGUUUCAUGUGUUCUAAACUCCAGCUUUGUAAAUUUGCAUGGCAGACUUUAUGAGAAGUCAUGUCCUUUCAAGAAAGUCAACAAGGUCCAUGUUUACUAACCUGUUGGCUGCUACCCUUGAAUCUCCCUUUUUACUUUCUUAAGUGAGCCAUCUUUAUUUGAGGGUAAUCCUUCGCUACCUGUCAUGGACUUCAUCCACUGAUGAAAACCGACGAGAGAAUGCUGCAAUCCAAGACUGAUAAAUUGUUUAAUCGUCGGAUUAAAUUAUAAGUGCAUAUCUGGGCUCCCUUCUUUUCUGUGGCCCCGUUUCCCUAACUAACCACUAACCAACGCCCGCCGAUGGUCACUCACCCGCUGUGAAACCAGGAGGAGGG